UCCAAGUUUCAUGUUGAGAUCGCAGUUUAAAUCCUAUAUAAAACCAUCCAAACUCUGUCAUUCACAUUAGAGGUUGGGAGUGUGUGUUUAAUUUCCAAGGAGUGCCUCCAGUAGCCUCAUGUCUAAUACUUCAGUUUCCAUUGCUACCCUCACAGUUGCCCUAGUAGUGGCAGUAUUGGGCACAGUUGCACCUCAUGCUGAGGCUGCUCGUGCUUUCUUCAUCUUUGGUGACUCACUUGUCGAACAAGGCAACAACAACUACUUAGCAACUACUGCACGUGCAGACUCCCCUCCGUAUGGCAUCGAUUAUCCAACUCACCAAGCCACUGGCCGCUUCAGC
RNAcentral lists this long non-coding RNA (340 nucleotides) under Vitis vinifera (wine grape). Its description in RNAcentral is "long non-coding RNA (VVIN_LNC002131)". The record is from RNAcentral. Lineage: Eukaryota; Viridiplantae; Streptophyta; Magnoliopsida; Vitales; Vitaceae.